CCCUCGGUGGUCUAGGGGUUUAUGAUUCAUCGCACAGUCUCUUGACUGUUACCGAUAAGGUCGGGGGUUCGAAUCCCUCCCAAAUGG
Hypoxylon argillaceum is the source of this 87-nucleotide non-coding RNA. The record is from the annotation of a GenBank genome assembly. NCBI's taxonomy places the organism in Eukaryota, Fungi, Ascomycota, Sordariomycetes, Xylariales, Hypoxylaceae.